Molecule: ribosomal RNA, 253 nt
Filed under: uncultured bacterium
Lineage: Bacteria
Description: partial 16S ribosomal RNA
Rfam family: Bacterial small subunit ribosomal RNA
Source: RNAcentral
UACGGAGGGGGCUAGCGUUGUUCGGAAUUACUGGGCGUAAAGCGCACGUAGGCGGCUUUGUAAGUUAGAGGUGAAAGCCCAGGGCUCAACCCUGGAAUUGCCUUUAAGACUGCAUCGCUUGAACAUCGGAGAGGUAAGUGGAAUUCCGAGUGUAGAGGUGAAAUUCGUAGAUAUUGGGAAGAACACCGGUGGCGAAGGCGGCGACCUGGUCCUUGACUGACGCUGAGGCGCGAAAGCGUGGGGAGCAAACAGG